GUGUCUAUUUUGUAAUGGGGUAUAUUUCACAAGAAUGAAAAGGGGUUGUUGAGGGAAAAAAACAUGUAGCGGGUCGGGAGUUUCCCCCCGCCUCCACUACACGAGAUUGCACAAAGGGGUGUGUGUAAAUAGCGAAAUAUUUUUCACUGAUGAUCCUUCCGCAGGUUCACCUACGGAAA
RNAcentral lists this unclassified non-coding RNA (179 nucleotides) under uncultured fungus. RNAcentral describes it as "sequence contains ITS1". Lineage: Eukaryota; Fungi. The record is from RNAcentral.